Molecule: ribosomal RNA, 266 nt
Filed under: uncultured soil bacterium
Lineage: Bacteria
Description: partial 16S ribosomal RNA
Rfam family: Bacterial small subunit ribosomal RNA
Source: RNAcentral
AGGACGAACGCUGGCGGCGUGCUUAACACAUGCAAGUCAAGGGGGUUCUGGGGGCAACCCUGGGGCAACCGGCGAACGGGUGCGUAACACGUGAGCGACCUACCGAGGUGCGGGGGAUAGCCGGCCCAACGGCCGGGUAAUACCGCAUACGUUCCUUUGGGGGCAUCCCUGGGGGAGAAACCUGCGGGUAAGACUCGUGGGGCAGCUCGAGGGCUCGCGGCCUAUCAGCUAGUUGGCGGGUAACGCCACAAGGCGAUGACGGUAGC